RNAcentral lists this non-coding RNA (22 nucleotides) under Mus musculus (house mouse). The record is from RNAcentral. Lineage: Eukaryota; Metazoa; Chordata; Mammalia; Rodentia; Muridae.
UUGCUUUAGCUGAAUACCCUCU